This 69-nucleotide transfer RNA is filed under the name Salminus brasiliensis (dorado). Its description in RNAcentral is "tRNA-His". It matches the Rfam family "tRNA". Rfam says of the family: Transfer RNA (tRNA) molecules are approximately 80 nucleotides in length. Their secondary structure includes four short double-helical elements and three loops (D, anti-codon, and T loops). Further hydrogen bonds mediate the characteristic L-shaped molecular structure. tRNAs have two regions of fundamental functional importance: the anti-codon, which is responsible for specific mRNA codon recognition, and the 3' end, to which the tRNAs corresponding amino acid is attached (by aminoacyl-tRNA synthetases). tRNAs cope with the degeneracy of the genetic code in two manners: having more than one tRNA (with a specific anti-codon) for a particular amino acid; and 'wobble' base-pairing, i.e. permitting non-standard base-pairing at the 3rd anti-codon position. The record is from RNAcentral. Lineage: Eukaryota; Metazoa; Chordata; Actinopteri; Characiformes; Bryconidae.
GUGAGUGUAGUUUAAAAAAAACGCUAGAUUGUGAUUCUAGAGAUAAGGGUUAAAAUCCCCUUACUCACC